This 835-nucleotide ribosomal RNA is filed under the name Ramularia gei. RNAcentral describes it as "eukaryotic LSU rRNA". It matches the Rfam family "Eukaryotic large subunit ribosomal RNA", at positions 77 to 943 of the family's 3401-position model. The record is from RNAcentral. Lineage: Eukaryota; Fungi; Ascomycota; Dothideomycetes; Mycosphaerellales; Mycosphaerellaceae.
GCCCUAGUAACGGCGAGUGAAGCGGCAACAGCUCAAAUUUGAAAUCUGGCGCAAGCCCGAGUUGUAAUUUGUAGAGGAUGCUUCUAGGUAGCGACCGGUCUAAGUUCCUUGGAACAGGACGUCAUAGAGGGUGAGAAUCCCGUAUGUGACCGGCCCGCACCUUCUACGUAGCUCCUUCGACGAGUCGAGUUGUUUGGGAAUGCAGCUCUAAAUGGGAGGUAAAUUUCUUCUAAAGCUAAAUACCGGCCAGAGACCGAUAGCGCACAAGUAGAGUGAUCGAAAGAUGAAAAGCACUUUGGAAAGAGAGUUAAAAAGCACGUGAAAUUGUUGAAAGGGAAGCGCUUACAACCAGACUUCUGGGCGGUGUUCCGCCGGUCUUUUGACCGGUCUACUCGCCGUCCCGAGGCCAACAUCAUCUGGGACCGCUGGAUAAGACCUCAGGAAUGUAGCUCCCCUCGGGGAGUGUUAUAGCCUGUGGUGAUGCAGCGCGUCUCGGGUGAGGUCCGCGCUUCGGCAAGGAUGUUGGCGUAAUGGUUGUCAGCGGCCCGUCUUGAAACACGGACCAAGGAGUCUAACAUCUAUGCGAGUGUUCGGGUGUCAAACCCCUACGCGUAAUGAAAGUGAACGGAGGUGGGAAGGGUAACCUGCACCAUCGACCGAUCCUGAUGUCCUCGGAUGGAUUUGAGUAAGAGCAUAGCUGUUGGGACCCGAAAGAUGGUGAACUAUGCCUGAAUAGGGUGAAGCCAGAGGAAACUCUGGUGGAGGCUCGCAGCGGUUCUGACGUGCAAAUCGAUCGUCAAAUUUGGGUAUAGGGGCGAAAGACUAAUCGAACCAU